GACGAACGCUGGCGGCGUGCCUAACACAUGCAAGUCAACUUGACUGAAGGAGCAAUCUGACAGUAGAGUGGCGCAAGGGUGCGUAACGCGUAAGUAACUUGCCCCAAGGUAAGGAAUAGCGUCGAGAAAUCGGCGCUAAUACCUCAUAAUGCAGCGGAUCCGCAUGGAUAUGUUGUUAAAGGUUUACCGCCUUGGGAUAGGCUUGCGUCUGAUUAGCUAGUGGUGUGGUAACGGCACACCAAGGCUACGAUCAGUAACUGGUCUGAGAGGGAUGAUCAGUCACACUGGAACUGAGACACGGUCCAGACUCCUACGGGAGGCAGCAGUGAGGAAUAUUGGGCAAUGCUCG
This 349-nucleotide ribosomal RNA is filed under the name uncultured bacterium. RNAcentral's name for it is "bacterial SSU rRNA". It matches the Rfam family "Bacterial small subunit ribosomal RNA", at positions 28 to 377 of the family's 1533-position model. The record is from RNAcentral.